GAGGGGGUGGGAGGAGAUGGUGGUGGUGGGCGGCGGCGAGCUCCACCCAGCUGGCGGCUGGGAUCGCGUGGUACCGACGAGGCUACAGCGGGAGCGGGGUGACGAUGCCCUUCAAGGCCUUCGCCAUUGCCACCAUGUUCGUCGGCUCCGGCGCCACCGCUGUGGGCGGCGCUCUUCUCGCCACCGGCAUCGACGACGUAGAUGACAUGAAGGAAGUUGGUGCCAGUGUCAGGAGAUGGAUGAUGCGGAGUCCUCCAGGAGGAACUUGAUAGAAGGCAUAAUAUAUAAUCUUGUCUUUUUAUUUGGCCACGGCGACAUGGUAAAAUUUCACCACCGGUUGGCUUUGUUAGAGCCAUAAUUCUGUAAUUUUUUUCUUUUUUUGUUUCGAUGUGAGUCAACCUUCUGUAGUUGGAUGAAUUGCACAUCAAAGAGAUGGGUGCAGUGCCUCAGAUGUGAUAAGCUGAUGGCUUUCUUGUUUUGCUUCAUCUCCUAAGCAAUUGAGACACUCAAGCGGUGGAUUCUCUGCUUAUGUAGUGAGACAAAGUGACUUGAACAGUUAAGGCUUGUUGCAAGAGCUAAACUAUUGGGUUGUGCUAUUACUUUGGAAAGUUCCAUUUGGAUAACAAGAUGAUGUCUUUCAUGUCACAA
Molecule: RNA transcript, 648 nt
Organism: Musa acuminata AAA Group (dessert banana)
Lineage: Eukaryota; Viridiplantae; Streptophyta; Magnoliopsida; Zingiberales; Musaceae
Exons: 2
Source: RefSeq, a predicted model, not a curated record